RNAcentral lists this transfer RNA (93 nucleotides) under Actinomycetes bacterium. RNAcentral describes it as "tRNA-Ser(tga)". It matches the Rfam family "tRNA". Rfam says of the family: Transfer RNA (tRNA) molecules are approximately 80 nucleotides in length. RNAcentral also lists the same sequence under 1 other name. Lineage: Bacteria; Bacillati; Actinomycetota; Actinomycetes. The record is from RNAcentral.
GGAGAGGUGGCAGAGCGGUUUAUUGCAGCGGUCUUGAAAACCGUCGAGCGGAUGACCUCCGUUCCGGGGGUUCGAAUCCCCCCCUCUCCGCCA